GAUGAACGCUAGCUACAGGCUUAACACAUGCAAGUCGAGGGGCAGCGCAGUGUAGCAAUACAUGGGCGGCGACCGGCGCACGGGUGCGUAACGCGUAUCCAACCUUCCCGUUACUCAGGGAUAGCCUUCCGAAAGGGAGAUUAAUACCUGAUGGUGUUCAAAUUCCGCAUGGUGUUGCAACCAAAGAAUUUCGGUAUGGGAUGGGGAUGCGUUCCAUUAGCUUGUUGGCGGGGUAACGGCCCACCAAGGCGACGAUGGAUAGGGGUUCUGAGAGGAAGGUCCCCCACACUGGAACUGAGACACGGUCCAGACUCCUACGGGAGGCAGCAGUGAGGAAUAUUGGUCAAUGGGCGAGAGCCUGAACCAGCCAAGUAGCGUGAAGGAUGACUGCCCUACGGGUUGUAAAACUUCUUUUGUUUGGGAAUAAAGUUCAGCACGUGUGCUGUUUUGUAUGUACCAUUCGAAUAAGCAUCGGCUAAUUCCGUG
Molecule: ribosomal RNA, 486 nt
Filed under: uncultured bacterium
Lineage: Bacteria
Description: bacterial SSU rRNA
Rfam family: Bacterial small subunit ribosomal RNA
Source: RNAcentral